AUGGGAUAAGCCUGGGAAACCGGGUCUAAUACUGGAUACGACGUCCUACCGCAUGGUGGGGCGUGGAAAGGGUUUUACUGGUUUUGGAUGGGCUCACGGCCUAUCAGCUUGUUGGUGGGGUAAUGGCCUACCAAGGCGACGACGGGUAGCCGGCCUGAGAGGGUGACCGGCCACACUGGGACUGAGACACGGCCCAGACUCCUACGGGAGGCAGCAGUGGGGAAUAUUGCACAAUGGGCGGAAGCCUGAUGCAGCGACGCCGCGUGAGGGAUGACGGCCUUCGGGUUGUAAACCUCUUUCAGCAGGGAAGAAGCCACAAGUGACGGUACCUGCAGAAGAAGCGCCGGCUAACUACGUGCCAGCAGCCGCGGUAAUACGUAGGGCGCAAGCGUUGUCCGGAAUUAUUGGGCGUAAAGAGCUCGUAGGCGGUUUGUCGCGUCUGCUGUGAAAGCCCGGGGCUCAACCCCGGGUCUGCAGUGGGUACGGGCAGACUAGAGUGCAGUAGGGGAGACUGGAAUUCCUGGUGUAGCGGUGAAAUGCGCAGAUAUCUGGAGGAACACCGAUGGCGAAGGCAGGUCUCUGGGCUGUUACUGACGUUGAGGAGCGAAAGCAUGGGGAGCGAACAGGAUUAGAUACCCUGGUAGU
This 645-nucleotide ribosomal RNA is filed under the name Kocuria flava. RNAcentral describes it as "bacterial SSU rRNA". It matches the Rfam family "Bacterial small subunit ribosomal RNA", at positions 138 to 794 of the family's 1533-position model. The record is from RNAcentral. Lineage: Bacteria; Bacillati; Actinomycetota; Actinomycetes; Micrococcales; Micrococcaceae.